Molecule: long non-coding RNA, 352 nt
Organism: Eucalyptus grandis
Lineage: Eukaryota; Viridiplantae; Streptophyta; Magnoliopsida; Myrtales; Myrtaceae
Exons: 3
Source: RefSeq, a predicted model, not a curated record
AGAAGCUUGUGCACAGUUGACUCAGGAAUUUUUCAGAGAGAACACUCUGAGACUUCUGAUAAUUUGUCUUCCGAAAUUGAACUUAGAGGCUCGUAAGAUGCCACUCAAGUUGUUGCAAACUUACAGAGGCAACAAGUUCAUUCGCGAUUGAUUGCUUCAGAUUACCUUGAAUCAAAUCUCGAUCUGAUGGAUAUUUUGAUGGCAGGUUAUGAGAACACGGAGAUGGCUUUACACUAUGGGGCAAUGCUGAGGGAGUGCAUACGGCAUCAGGUUGUUGCAAAGUGAGAUUAUAAACCAGGACUAUUCAUCUUCUUCCUCUCUCUCUGUUUUUCUCUCUCUCUCUCUCUCUCUC